GAAGAUAAUUUGAUCAAGAGUUACCUGCUCCGACAUGGCAAAGUGUUUCGGCGACUUCUUGAUCGGUGGCACUGACCUGAGAGGAGAGGGAAUCUUCACCUGGGAGCGCCCUUUGGCGAAGAAACUAGGAUACAAGGGGUGGCAGAAAGGUCAACCUAAUAAUUACAACGGUAAACAACAUUGCAUGAUCAUGCGUCAAAAAGAUAAGUACAAGUGGAAUGAUGCACCCUGCCAUUACAAGUUCAGGUUCAUUUGUGAACGAGCUCUUUAACAAUUUUGUCACAAAUGUACGAAGAAUAUGCAAUGACAAUACCAGUAUCUUGCUAAAUACAAACGUCUAACAUC
Haliotis rubra (blacklip abalone) is the source of this 345-nucleotide long non-coding RNA. RefSeq lists it as uncharacterized. Lineage: Eukaryota; Metazoa; Mollusca; Gastropoda; Lepetellida; Haliotidae. The transcript has 2 exons. The record is from RefSeq and is a predicted model, not a curated record.